Nicotiana sylvestris (wood tobacco) is the source of this 102-nucleotide non-coding RNA. Lineage: Eukaryota; Viridiplantae; Streptophyta; Magnoliopsida; Solanales; Solanaceae. The record is from Rfam.
GGCGAUUGCAAUGAUGAUAACAUUUCCCAGCUCAUUAUGAGAUCUUAUUUGUUAAGGUCCGGGAAUAUACUCCGUUUCCAACACAUACAUCUGAGCUUCGCC